GGAAAGAAAAGAAAAGAAAGGAAAUAGAUUUAUGAAAUUUAAAAACAAUAAAGUACAUAUAAAUGUAUAUAUAUAAAUAUCCACAAGAGACAAAACCCCACCAACCAUCUUCUUCUUCCUCUUCUCUCUCUCUCCUUGCCGUCUCCCUUGGUCUCUCCCUCCCCACCAUUGUUAUCAAGCUUAAAGCUUGAUUUCCUCUUCAUUUACCCAUCAAAACCCAUAGCUCUCUUCACAAAUAAUUCUCCCCACUCCAUAAGGAAGCUUUAGAUACCCAUUUGAAGAAGAGAAAUUAAAGUUUGCAAGUUGGGUCACAAGGUACUGGAGAUCAGUCCCAGCAGCCGCAGCAGCAACAGUAGUAGUGAGCACACAGAGCCCAAUCAGAUCUGCCAGUGCUUACUAGUUACCUCUACAGUUGUAUUUCUUUUUGGUAGGGCCCAUGUAUGUCUAGAUUUUGUACUUUUUGUUCAUUGUACCUAAAAACAUGAUGUAUUCCAUUUUGAGAUUUGUAAUGUAAACUUGAAAUUUAUUAUCUAUGAAUUUCUAUAUGAAUGCAAUAGAUAAUACUUCAUUUUUAGAUCUCAUAAAUAAUUGAAAAUGAUAUGAUACAAGAGAAUAUGAUAUGGAAAUGUGUGAAAUGAAUAUGGACAUGUUAACAGGUGAUUAGUGGAACCCGCCAGAUGUUAAUAAAAUAAGGUAGGCUCUGUCCGGGUCUCCACAGAAAUAAAAUAUAAAAAAAAAAUUCUACACAUAGAAUACAUGCUUUAAAUGACAUCAAAAGUUUACAAUAGAUAUGAUAAAACAAGAUAGGGUGCUCCGGCACCG
RNAcentral lists this unclassified non-coding RNA (822 nucleotides) under Hevea brasiliensis (rubber tree). Lineage: Eukaryota; Viridiplantae; Streptophyta; Magnoliopsida; Malpighiales; Euphorbiaceae. The record is from RNAcentral.